This is a long non-coding RNA of Drosophila subobscura, 1023 nucleotides long. RefSeq lists it as uncharacterized. Lineage: Eukaryota; Metazoa; Arthropoda; Insecta; Diptera; Drosophilidae. The transcript is spliced from 3 exons. The record is from RefSeq and is a predicted model, not a curated record.
UUGAUCGGCCCAGCUUGGCUGAGACCCAUUCAGUGCGCAUCACUAGCUUAGGGGCCGCAGAAGCGGCCAGAACGUGCUACAACAGUUAGAAAAUUCUGCGUGGAGUGGCAUCCAAGUAAGGAUGUCGACCAAGUAACGGAAUAAAGUAACAAUGACAUUGCCCCACAACAUUAUCAGAUCUCUGAUUGGAUCAGAGGGCGGGCUAUGAAUCAGAAGUAUGAGUUGACGUAUAUUUUUGUUAGUACACGUGUACAUACAUACAUACAUGCAUAAUGGAUUGUAAAUCACCUUUGGUUGACCGAUAAAUCGUGAAUCUAACUUUCAAUCUUCAUUGGAAACGUAUCCGAAAGCAAAGUCGCGAAUUUGACAUUGACACAGACUAUAGGAGGAAGAGGGGAAAAAGAGAAGGAGAGGAUGAGGGAGCGGGAGAAGGAGAACAAGGUAAAAUGGACAUGAGAUAAUUUGUGAAUAAAUUAAAACAUGUUUUUCGAAAGGCUUUUUGUAAGACCCCCGCACACACACGCACAAGUAGCACGCAUACGAGUAUGCAUGUGUGUGUGCUAAUUAUUUGCGUGCACAUGUUUCAAUGUCAUUACCACAGAAGAGAGCAAAAGAGAGUGGAUUUUAACAGAAGAGAGUGGAGUAGUAGAACCAAAAAGAGAGUGAAGCUAAGUAUGCGAGCGGGCAAAGAGAGUGCAGCUGCAUUAGACCUCUGGGGGGGGCUUCUUUACACUUUUAAUUCGAAAGGUUAUUGCCAGGGAGGGGGGGCUUUUCUAAUCUUGAGAGUGACUGAGUGUCCGUGCCCCAGCAGCAGCUACAGCUCGACGUCAUUGGUGACCCUAGAGGCAAAAGAACACACAUUUGAAGGGCGCGCGCGCACGACUUCAGCCAACCGUCCCAUCCAUUCACCUGAUGUGCGAUCAUUCACUUCACAGUGAUCGCAUUAAGUAUGCGCACGCAUGCAACCACACACCACGUACCGCGCACACUGUCUUGCACUUACCCUCUUUAAGCGUUGCCAUC